Non-coding RNA from Arachis ipaensis, 567 nucleotides. The record is from RefSeq and is a predicted model, not a curated record. NCBI's taxonomy places the organism in Eukaryota, Viridiplantae, Streptophyta, Magnoliopsida, Fabales, Fabaceae.
AUUUUAAUCUUGGUUUCAUGUGUAAAUUGCUGCAAUGAGGUUACAAUAAUUUUUUUUAUUGGGUUCGAGGAUUUUUAAGAAGAUGGCGCUUGAGAUUGAGAAUGGUUUGAAUUGUUUGACAACCCAAAUUGAGAUUCAUUAGAGGGAAAGGUUAAAUUUAUCAGUUAGACAUGAUAAUCAAUGCAUCAUCCCUUUACAUUCUGUGCUUGACCAAUGAUUACUUCAAUGACAACAAAUGUCGCCGAGAUCUCAGGUCUUAAACUUUAAACAUUUGAUUCAGCCCCAGGAACAGGACAGCCAAGGUGAACCUGAAAUAUUUCUGAUUAUCCUUUUUUUCAUGCCAAAAUAUCAAGCACUGGCUGGGUGCCUAUUGAGGAUAUCGUAGAUUUGAGCAAAAGUGAGACUGAAAGGCAAAGGCGUGAAGGGGAAAGUGUUUGACAAAUAUAUUUGCAGAUGAUGUGAUUGAAGUGAACAACUUUGGUUGAGAAGAAAGUUUUUGAAGGAGCUGGAGUACAUCACUAUUAGUUUCCCCUGGAACUAAAGUGAUCUCAAUUUUCGGGUCUGGAA